CGGGACGGGUGAGUAACGCGUGGAUAACCUGCCUCACACUGGGGGAUAACAGUUAGAAACGACUGCUAAUACCGCAUGAGCGCACAGUACCGCAUGGUACGGUGUGAAAAACUCCGGUGGUGUGAGAUGGAUCCGCGUCUGAUUAGCCAGUUGGCGGGGUAACGGCCCACCAAAGCGACGAUCAGUAGCCGACCUGAGAGGGUGACCGGCCACAUUGGGACUGAGACACGGCCCAA
This 236-nucleotide ribosomal RNA is filed under the name uncultured bacterium. RNAcentral describes it as "partial 16S ribosomal RNA". It matches the Rfam family "Bacterial small subunit ribosomal RNA", at positions 100 to 334 of the family's 1533-position model. The record is from RNAcentral.